GAAAUGUGGCAGUUAUAUUAAACCAAUUCCAGUAGCUUAAAAAUACUUUGUACAUAUGAGGGGAAAAAGAUGUGGCAGUAACUAACUGAAAGAUCUUCCUAAGCACCCGGCAAGAGAAACUGCAAUUUUUCUUUUUUUGGGAUAGAGAGAAAAUGCAUUAAUAAACAAUGUAAAAAGUACCAUUACCAUGCCAAAUAUUUUAC
This 203-nucleotide unclassified non-coding RNA is filed under the name Hevea brasiliensis (rubber tree). Lineage: Eukaryota; Viridiplantae; Streptophyta; Magnoliopsida; Malpighiales; Euphorbiaceae. The record is from RNAcentral.